RNAcentral lists this ribosomal RNA (217 nucleotides) under uncultured bacterium. RNAcentral's name for it is "partial 16S ribosomal RNA". It matches the Rfam family "Bacterial small subunit ribosomal RNA", at positions 1286 to 1500 of the family's 1533-position model. The record is from RNAcentral.
UCUCAGUUCGGAUUGGAGUCUGCAACUCGACUCCAUGAAGCUGGAUUCGCUAGUAAUCGCGAAUCAGCAUGUCGCGGUGAAUACGUUCCCGGGCCUUGUACACACCGCCCGUCACACCAUGAGAGUUGGCAAUACCCAACGUACGUGAUCUAACCCGCAAGGGAGGAAGCGUCCUAAGGUAGGGUCAGCGAUUGGGGUGAAGUCGUAACAAGGUAGC